AUUGAACGCUGGCGGCAGGCCUAACACAUGCAAGUCGAGCGGAUGAAGGGAGCUUGCUCCUGGAUUCAGCGGCGGACGCGUGAGUAAUGCCUAGGAAUCUGCCUGGUAGUGGGGGAUAACAUCCGGAAACGGGCGCUAAUACCGCAUACGUCCUGCGGGAGAAACUGGGGGAUGUUCGGACCUCACGCUAUCAGAUGAGCCUAGGUCGGAUUAGCUAGUUGGUGGGGUAAAGGCCUACCAAGGCGACGAUCCGUAACUGGUCUGAGAGGAUGAUCAGUCACACUGGAACUGAGACACGGUCCAGACUCCUACGGGAGGGAGCAGUGGCGAAUAGGGGACAAUGGGCGAAAGCCUGAUACAGCCAUGCCGAGUGUGUGAAGAAGGUCUUCGGAUUGUAAAGCACUUUAAGUUGGGAGGAAGGGCAGUAAGUUAAUACCUUGCUGUUUUGACGUUACCAACAGAAGAAGCACCGGCUAACUUCGUG
Molecule: ribosomal RNA, 484 nt
Filed under: uncultured bacterium
Lineage: Bacteria
Description: partial 16S ribosomal RNA
Rfam family: Bacterial small subunit ribosomal RNA
Source: RNAcentral